UGUGGAUAUCAUGAUUUUAGCUACUCAAUUCUUGUUAAUAGGAAUUCCAUUUAUUUUCAAUACAUGGAUUGUAAGGCAUCUUACACAAGAGGACUAUGCGACAUGUGCUUGAUAAAAUUUUUGCGUGUGUUGAUUUGGUAGUAGCUGCUUAUGUUGGUGUAUAGUAGUGGUUGCAGUCAUAAAUUCUCAGAACAUGUCUCGGUUUAUGUGAUAAGAUGUCUCAUAGGAAGUUCGAUCACCCAAGACACGAUUCUCUUGGCUUUCUUCCAAGGAUGCCAGCUUCUUGUUAUCAUGGAAAAGUGAUUUGUGGAUCACUCAUGUGGACAACCCAAUGGUGUAAGAGCUCCAUUUCCUGCUAAUAAUCCACUACUAGGAUCCUUGCCAAAGGCUGGAGGGUUUCCUCCUCUUAGUGCACAUGGGGUGGGCUACUUUACUGAUUUGGUUUCGUAGGCAUUACAUAUUGUUAUCUUUUGGUUCUUAUUUUGGUGCUGGACUAUUCUGUGGUUAAUGUGUAUAGCCUUUUCAACCUACUCCAACACCUGUGCCAACACCCCUGGCUGGUUGGAUGUCAAAUCCUACCACUGUAGCACAUGUUGCAGUUUCUGGAAGAGCCACUAUAGGUCUUGGUACUGCUACAGGUCUUGGUGCACCAUCAAUCACUGCUGCUUUGAAGCACCCUAGGACCCCUCCAACUAAUCCAA
Molecule: non-coding RNA, 701 nt
Organism: Arachis ipaensis
Lineage: Eukaryota; Viridiplantae; Streptophyta; Magnoliopsida; Fabales; Fabaceae
Source: RefSeq, a predicted model, not a curated record